Molecule: ribosomal RNA, 464 nt
Filed under: uncultured bacterium
Lineage: Bacteria
Description: partial 16S ribosomal RNA
Rfam family: Bacterial small subunit ribosomal RNA
Source: RNAcentral
GACGAACGCUGGCGGCGUGCUUAACACAUGCAAGUCGAACGGAAAGGCCCUGCUUGCAGGGUACUCGAGUGGCGAACGGGUGAGUAACACGUGGGUGAUCUGCCCUGCACUUCGGGAUAAGCCUGGGAAACUGGGUCUAAUACCGGAUAGGAGCCCUUUUUAGUGUGAUGGUUGGAAAGUUUUUUCGGUGUAGGAUGAGCUCGCGGCCUAUCAGCUUGUUGGUGGGGUAAUGGCCUACCAAGGCGGCGACGGGUAGCCGGCCUGAGAGGGUGGACGGCCACAUUGGGACUGAGAUACGGCCCAGACUCCUACGGGAGGCAGCAGUGGGGAAUAUUGCACAAUGGGCGCAAGCCUGAUGCAGCGACGCCGCGUGGGGGAUGACGGCCUUCGGGUUGUAAACUCCUUUCGCUAGGGACGAAGCUUUUUGGGACGGUACCUAGAUAAGAAGCACCGGCUAACUACGU